AUUUCGACAUUUCCAAAAUACGAAUCGUGAAUGUCGCCUCAUGGAAUGUUGCUGUAUAAAACACUUAGCAUAUUCCCUCUUUAAAACGUCAAAGAACAACGUGUCCGUGCGUUUUCCAAGGAAACGGAGUUUUCAUCAACAUCAGUGCGACAGAAACUGUUGUGGAACAACCAUCUGCGGCACCAGUUAACCGGUAAUCAUCUUGCGUUGUAAACUUUUUUCAUCUGUAAACCUCCCUAAAGAAGUACGAGACCAAAGAAUGGCUUUUUCUUAUGUUGAUUAUGUGUUGUACAUAACCGGAGCACUGCUUGCGGCGUACCCUCACAAAUACUUGGUGAGCGGAGCCAACGUGGGCCUACGAAGUUCUGAAUCUACUUGUCUCAAGUUAGGAUGGAAGUACGGUGGGCCAUACCAAAGUUGGUAUACUUACAAUUAUGAAGACGACGAUUGCGAUAAAACAGAUUCUACUGUUUUAUUGUCCGAAAAGUGGCCGGCAAAUAAUGCUUUUCUAAGUCGACAUGAGUGCUUAAAAGAAUGCAUGCCGAGCUUUGACCAGUAUGGUGAAUAGACAUCAAGAAUAAAGCAACCAUUUAUGUAUGUCCUCGUACCAAGUACCUCGGAUACAGACCCUAGUUCAACCAUUCAUAGCUCUUGUAAGGCUUCAUGG
Molecule: long non-coding RNA, 667 nt
Organism: Dermacentor silvarum
Lineage: Eukaryota; Metazoa; Arthropoda; Arachnida; Ixodida; Ixodidae
Exons: 4
Source: RefSeq, a predicted model, not a curated record